GAUGAACGCUAGCGGCAGGCCUAACACAUGCAAGUCGAGGGGUAUAAAAGAGCUUGCUUUUUUAGAGACCGGCAAACGGGUGCGGAACACGUACGCAAUCUGCCCUUAUCACGGGGAUAGCCCAGAGAAAUUUGGAUUAAUACCCGAUAGUAUUAUAAUAAGGCAUCUUGUUGUAAUUAAAGCUAUGGCGGAUAAGGAUGAGCGUGCGCAAGAUUAGCUAGUUGGUGAGGUAACGGCUCACCAAGGCGACGAUCUUUAGCUGAUGUGAGAGCAUGAUCAGCCACACGGGCACUGAGACACGGGCCCGACUCCUACGGGAGGCAGCAGUGAGGAAUAUUGGUCAAUGGACGAAGUCUGAACCAGCCGAUGCCGCGUGAAGGAUGAAGGCGUUACUGCGUUGUAAACUUCUUUU
This 412-nucleotide ribosomal RNA is filed under the name uncultured bacterium. RNAcentral's name for it is "bacterial SSU rRNA". It matches the Rfam family "Bacterial small subunit ribosomal RNA", at positions 28 to 437 of the family's 1533-position model. The record is from RNAcentral.